RNAcentral lists this long non-coding RNA (375 nucleotides) under Amborella trichopoda. RNAcentral's name for it is "long non-coding RNA (ATRI_LNC001089)". The record is from RNAcentral. Lineage: Eukaryota; Viridiplantae; Streptophyta; Magnoliopsida; Amborellales; Amborellaceae.
UUCAUCUCUCUAUCCUACAUCUAUGCCAAGAGUCUGUACCCCAAUGUAUCUCAAAUCCAGUGCUAAGAGUUCCUAGAGCAAGCAAGAUGAGUUUGUGUCAAAUAUACAGGCUUGGUUUCUAAAGAUGGUAUUGAAACACAUGUUUGAAGAAGGGCGCUGAUAAUUUUAUGUAGUUUGGGUAAUGUGACAUCAAGAUGUUAUGCUAUCUUGGUUUGAACAUGGGCAAGAGACUUUGGACUGACAUUCAAUGUCAAAUACAGAGGCUUUGGGCACAGAAAUGUUGUUUGAAGCACAAGUUUGAGAGGAAGCAAUAAAAUUGUGCAGAUAAUGUAAUCAUGGUCUGUACUGAAGAGUAAGAGUUGGGACUCACCCGAG